UGUCUCAUGGUGUAAUGGUAGCACUACAGUUUUUGGUUCUGUCUGUCGAGGUUCGAAUCCUCGUGAGACAACAA
Molecule: transfer RNA, 74 nt
Filed under: Parabacteroides sp. An277
Lineage: Bacteria; Pseudomonadati; Bacteroidota; Bacteroidia; Bacteroidales; Tannerellaceae
Description: tRNA-Gln
Rfam family: tRNA
About the family: Transfer RNA (tRNA) molecules are approximately 80 nucleotides in length. Their secondary structure includes four short double-helical elements and three loops (D, anti-codon, and T loops).
Source: RNAcentral